UGUCCCCUGCGGGGCGCGUGAUGCCCAGCAGAAAUUCGAACCGAUACGUCCAUCACGGGGUCCGUUUCAGGUUCCAUGAGCAAGCCCUCCCCUUCGGGGACUGAGGGAAGCCUACGGUUCCAUGACUUCGAACCCCACCUGGCUUUUUAGGGUUCAAUGGACGCUAGGCACACGGCCAUUUCGCGGGGGGCUU
RNAcentral lists this non-coding RNA (193 nucleotides) under Cystobacter ferrugineus. RNAcentral's name for it is "6S / SsrS RNA". It matches the Rfam family "6S / SsrS RNA". Rfam says of the family: E. coli 6S RNA was the first non coding RNA to be sequenced, but its function was unknown until recently. RNAcentral also lists the same sequence under 1 other name. The record is from Rfam by way of RNAcentral. Lineage: Bacteria; Pseudomonadati; Myxococcota; Myxococcia; Myxococcales; Archangiaceae.